ACUGCGAGUGAAGCGGCAAAAGCUCAAAUUUGAAAUCUGGUACCUUUGGGUGCCCGAGUUGUAAUUUGGAGAGGCAACUUCGGAGGGGGCGCUGGCCUAAGUUCCUUGGAACAGGACGUCACAGAGGGUGAGAAUCCCGUGCUUGGCUGGCUGUCCUCCUUCAUGUGAAGUGUCUUCGACGAGUCGAGUUGUUUGGGAAUGCAGCUCAAAAUGGGUGGUAAACUCCAUCUAAGGCUAAAUAUUGGCGAGAGACCGAUAGCGCACAAGUAGAGUGAUCGAAAGAUGAAAAGCACUUUGAAAAGAGAGUUAAACAGUACGUGAAAUUGUUGAAAGGGAAGCGCUUGAGACCAGACUCGGUGAGAGGUGAUCAGCGGUUGCUUCUGCUCCGUGCACUUGCCUGUUAUCGGGCCAGCAUCAGUUGCGACGGUGGGAUAAAGCUUUGAGGAAUGUGGCUCCCUUCGGGGAGUGUUAUAGCCUUGGGGGUAAUGCCGCCUGUUGCGACUGAGGACCGCGCUUCGGCUAGGAUGCUGGCAUAAUGGUCUUCAGCGACCCGUCUUGAAACACGGACCAAGGAGUCUAACAUCUAUGCGAGUGUUCGGGUGGAAAACCCCUACGCGUAAUGAAAGUGAACGGAGGUGGGAACUCUUUGGAGUGCACCAUCGACCGAUCCUGAUGUCUUCGGAUGGAUUUGAGUAGGAGCAUAGCUGUUGGGACCCGAAAGAUGGUGAACUAUGCCUGAAUAGGGUGAAGCCAGAGGAAACUCUGGUGGAGGCUCGCAGCGGUUCUGACGUGCAAAUCGAUCGUCAAAUUUGGGUAUAGGGGCGAAAGACUAAUCGAACCAUCUAGUAGC
This 850-nucleotide ribosomal RNA is filed under the name Urnula mediterranea. Its description in RNAcentral is "eukaryotic LSU rRNA". It matches the Rfam family "Eukaryotic large subunit ribosomal RNA", at positions 86 to 951 of the family's 3401-position model. The record is from RNAcentral. Lineage: Eukaryota; Fungi; Ascomycota; Pezizomycetes; Pezizales; Sarcosomataceae.